Molecule: long non-coding RNA, 2045 nt
Organism: Ostrea edulis (European flat oyster)
Lineage: Eukaryota; Metazoa; Mollusca; Bivalvia; Ostreida; Ostreidae
Exons: 2
Source: RefSeq, a predicted model, not a curated record
UUUUAAUGCCAGAGAGGUAGAGAAUACAGAAUUAUGAUUUUUUUUUGUAGAUAGUCCAUAAAAUAACAAAACUUUUAUUUAUAUUUAUUCUAAUUCACUUCAAGGUUUGUGUAUUUUUCAAAUCAGCAAACACAUACACCCACCCACCCAUAACUCAAAAUACCAAAAAAUCUCAAAAGAGUCAAAUUUUAAAUCCACUUAAAAAUGAAUUUAAGAAUUUUGAAUGUUAUAAUGUUCUACUUACAACAAUUCAGGUGCGAUCCACAUCAGAAAAAAAAGUGAGGUAUUGUUUACAAAACUACACACAGGAAAUGUAAGAUCCGGAAUAUAUAAACAUUAACGAUACACAAGCUUCCCUCCUUAUGCUAGGCACACCUUGAUGUUGUAACACUUUGAGAAACAAAAACAAAAAAUCAAAAAUCAAAAGCCAGUGAUUAGUCGGACAUGUCACAAAUUGUCUCAGUAUGUACACAGGCAGCUCAGCACAGGGAGACCACAAGAAUCAAUGGCACCAAUUUAGUAGCCUGCCAUUCCACUACCUCGGACAGGAACAUCAAUUAUGAAUUACACAACACAUUGCCCUAUAUUUUGGUGUGUUAGCACUUAUCCUUUUAGAUCAUCAUAAAAGCCUUCAUACUUUACUGCCUACCAAUCCAUAUCAGAGAAACUAAAGGAAAAAAAAACUUUUUUUUUUUAUACCAGUAGUUCAGUUACUGUCCUAAGUGACCUAGAUUAGGGACAGAAAUUUGUCAUCCAAUCAAAGCUCUAGCUAAAAUUAUGAAUUAAUUCCCUAGUAUAUCAUACGUCAGACCUCUCCCCUGCUUUAUAUGACAGGAACUGUGUACUAGCAAACCUUGUCUCUCUAUAAAUAAACCUGAUAUUGGUGAUACCGGCUGUUCCUACAGUGGGCCGGGAUUUCAGGAUGUGAAUUACUCCAUUAAUACCAGGCGGAGGCUUGCGUCAGGCACAUUAGCACUUAGCAGUCCUUUCAUAGACCACUUUCAUCCUCACCAUCCGUGAUUUUUCAUCCCUAACACUGGAUUACGGACAUGACAGCCCACCUUUCAAUCAAUUUCUGUUCAGCACUCCUUACAGAAAUGUACAUUAGAUAUGAGGAAGAAAUAUCUGCAAACGGAAACUACCCCCUGCUUAUUAUUUUCAAUAGGAAGGGAGAAAAUGCAACGGACCAGACCGGGAUUCGAACUCGUGCGCCCUGAAUCUCCAUUCAGGUGCUCUACCAACUGAGCUAUCUGGUCACCGGCGAUCGAACACGUCUGACCGCUACAUAUUAUAUUACUUUUCAUUAUGUGUAUUGUUUUACUUCUAUUUUCUUAAAUGUAAUUAUUUUUAUCUUAUAGGGUCUAUUACUACAGUACUUGUAAAUCAAAGAUAUUUACAUCCCUUACUAAUCUCGCUGUUACGUUUUAAUAGUCCCGUUCACAUGCGCCCAUUCACUAAUGGGUGUAAAUCUUAUAUACGUGCAAAUUUUAAUUCUGGUGUGUAAAUGUAAUUUUUGCAAUGCGCAUUUCCAAGCAAUAUCGAUGCAGUUUGAAGACGAGGAAUGAGAUGGAUAUAGCCUAUGUAGAUGUUGAUUUUACCAUAUCUUGUUCAGAUAUAAUAAUAUUUCAAUUGGAACUUACUAAAACAGAAGGUCACUGCUUUUUUUUUUAUAUAGGACAUGAUGUAAUUUAAAAAAGAUUGGAAUAUCUUAAUUUAUAGACAAUUUCAAUAAUUUGUACAUGUGUGUAAAUUUGCCAUACGUUCACAUUGAUGAAAAUACAGUCACCGAGAGUAAAUACUCUUAUAUAAAAGUUAAUUUGUACUCAGUCUGGCCAUAUGCAAAUUAAGUAAAUACACUCGCGUGCAAAUCUUGCUUUACCUCUAUUCACACGCGCCCCAAAAUACAAACCAAGUGCAAAAUUUGCGUUUACAUGUAUAUGUAAAGUUUAAGUGUAUUCAUAAUACACAUGUGUAGUAUACAUGUAGUGACCUUGUGUCUGGAGAUUAUCUGCUUCCCAAUUAUAUCAUGAUGUACAUAAUGAAAA